UCGGCGAGGCUGAUGAGGAAAAGCACCAGCCAACGCUGAUCUCUCCACUCGUUCCACAGCUGCCCUUUGGACAGCUACCACGUACAUGGACAGGAGUCUUGGAACCCAGCGUCAGGGUUGCUGCAGCCAGGAAUGCUGGCGCUGAGCUUGGUCUAUGAGACUUGUGCCAGCACUGUCAGAUCUCAGUCUGAUCGACCCUGGGUACUUGGAAUCAGCCCUGUACACCUGGUUCCCAGAGCUGUGUCAUGGACUCAGAGCGGACGAGGUCACGCCAGCUGGGGCUAUUUCUGACACUCAGACCUGUUGACAGUUUCCAAAUGUCCCCCACUAGCAAGAGAACCUACCACGCUGCCGGCUAGCUGCUUCACACUUGGUAGAAGAGACAACGGCGGGGGUUGCAAAUGAAACUGAAAUGAAAUUGGAUACAAAAAGCUCCUCAGAGAUUUUGGCAUCUGGAACUUGCUG
Chrysemys picta bellii (western painted turtle) is the source of this 465-nucleotide long non-coding RNA. RefSeq lists it as uncharacterized. NCBI's taxonomy places the organism in Eukaryota, Metazoa, Chordata, Testudines, Emydidae. The record is from RefSeq and is a predicted model, not a curated record.